GCAUUGGUAGCUCAGAGACAGAGCGCCGGUCUUGUAAACCGGAUGCCGGAGGUUAAAUCCCUCCCCAUUGCUU
RNAcentral lists this transfer RNA (73 nucleotides) under Channa diplogramma (Malabar snakehead). Its description in RNAcentral is "Channa diplogramme (Malabar snakehead) tRNA-Thr". It matches the Rfam family "tRNA". Rfam says of the family: Transfer RNA (tRNA) molecules are approximately 80 nucleotides in length. The record is from RNAcentral. Lineage: Eukaryota; Metazoa; Chordata; Actinopteri; Anabantiformes; Channidae.